ACCUAGCCGCCGCCCCCUCGUGCACUCCCGCACUCGCGCCCGCUCCUCCCGCACACGCGCCGCGCCCUCACCUCUCUCUCCCCCUCCAAACCCUACCCCGCCGGCCGCCGCCGCCACCGCUGUUGCUCGCCCUUGCCUCCCGCGCACUACCAUCUCCCGGUCGUCCUCGCUCGCGUACUCUGCCGCAUCUCCCGCGCCAGCAGAUCGACGCAGCCGGGCCCGUCCACCGCGUCUCCCCGCCGCCCAGCUCGUCCCCGGCCUCCGCCCAGGUUAGACCUCGUCCUACAGCUUGCCCUCACCUCUCUCUCCCCCUCCAACCCUACCCCGCCGGCCGCCGCCGCCACCGCUGCUGCUCGCCCUUGCCUCCCGCGCGCCGCCGUCUCCCGGUCAUCCUCGCUCGCGUACUCUGCCGCAUCUCCCGCGCCAGCAGAUCGACGCAGCCGGGCCCGUCCACCGCGUCUCCCUGCCGCCCAGCUCGUCCCCGGCCUCCGCCCAGGUCUGUACUCUGAGGGUUACUUUCAUUUGCGUUGAAAGCUAUGUGGGUCAUUUGUCACGGCCACAGAUGCGGCCCCGGAGCUGUCGGGUUCACCGUGACACAGGUGGAGCAGAUGAAGGUGGAGGCGUGAGUAGCCGACAUCUACUGCGUCCUCUUCGACGCCGCGCCCAACGCCAAGUCUAUCAUGCUAGAGCUGUGGUGCAAUCAGCAUGUCGAGUAUUUGACGAAAGGGCUCGAUGCCGAGUAUUGCUUCUCCAAUGUAAAAUUAACUCGAGUGUCGUCCCUGGUUAUUAUUUUGCUUGACAGUUUUCAUUCCAGUCGACCUUGGUUAUUAUGCUAUUGGAUGGUUCAUGGACUCGCGUUGCUGGAUGAAACGCUUGGCGAUGACCUCGAGAACGAUAUUGUAGACUUCUUGUCUCGAUGCCAGGAUAGGUUCAAGCCAAGUAGCUAACAUCCCCUUCUACCCAAGGUCAAGCAUUCAGCGGCGGCAUCAGAGGAGACAUCGUCACGCGGAAGCCCCUUCUCUGGACAAGCAAAAGCUCUGGCCGCCAUGGAUGCCAAUGAGAUUCUCGACCAAGGUUCACCUGGGCCUGCAUCCUCCAAAAACAAGAUGCAUCCACUUAUCAAGAUACGAAGUCUACUCGCCAGGAGGAGCAUGAAUAGUACAUCGAGAGAGGAAGUAGGAGUUCUCCGAAAUGAUCAUCUACAAGCACAGUACAUAUUUGUUGAUUGCUAGCACUAUCUAUGUUUCCAUAGCAUUGUUUCCAACUGCUGUAACACCUAUUUUUACAAUUUAAGGUAUGAACUACCUGGCUUUAUUUUGAACUUAUGUACUGAUGUAGAAUGAUGGCUCCUGUUUUUUACUUGCUGGUAUGAACUGUUUCGUUGUAUUUUGUAAAGCUCAAGAGUUUACUUAUGAUGCUAACUAACAUUGCUACAACAUUUGUAUAGACUACCUCUAAUAAUUAUCCUUUCCUUGCCGUUUGGCAUUUUUUUUU
Long non-coding RNA from Triticum aestivum (bread wheat), 1494 nucleotides. RefSeq lists it as uncharacterized. The record is from RefSeq and is a predicted model, not a curated record. The transcript is spliced from 6 exons. Lineage: Eukaryota; Viridiplantae; Streptophyta; Magnoliopsida; Poales; Poaceae.